CCCUUAGAUGUUCUGGCGGCCCGCGCACUACAUUGGCACUGGCAACAAGAUCCUAGAUCUGAUAUUUCGGGGUAUUCUACCAACUGGUGUCGUGACUGGGAUUAACCCCUGCAAUUAUUGGUUAUGAACGAGGAAUUCCUUGUAAUCACGGUUUAUCAACCCGUGUUGAAUGCGUCCCUGCCCUUUGUACACACCGCCCGUCGCUCCUACCGAUGAAUCGUCCGGUGAAGUUCAUGGAGUCGCGGCUGCUCCAGCUGUUUUCGAAGUGAAAUGGACCUCAUGAUUUAGAGGAAGGAGAAGUCGUAACA
This 308-nucleotide ribosomal RNA is filed under the name uncultured eukaryote. Its description in RNAcentral is "partial 18S ribosomal RNA". It matches the Rfam family "Eukaryotic small subunit ribosomal RNA", at positions 1470 to 1796 of the family's 1831-position model. The record is from RNAcentral.